AAAAAAUUAGUUAAAUAUAAUAUGAUUUUGUCAAAAUCAAGUUACUUCAAUGGUAUUUUUUU
This 62-nucleotide transfer RNA is filed under the name Metisotoma macnamarai. RNAcentral describes it as "tRNA-Asp". Lineage: Eukaryota; Metazoa; Arthropoda; Collembola; Entomobryomorpha; Isotomidae. The record is from RNAcentral.